Molecule: non-coding RNA, 1163 nt
Organism: Nylanderia fulva
Lineage: Eukaryota; Metazoa; Arthropoda; Insecta; Hymenoptera; Formicidae
Source: RefSeq, a predicted model, not a curated record
GGACCGGCGCGGCGUUACGUCGUAUCGAAUGAAGUUGUCGAUUUAUAUCGAUAAUGAAACAUAUCGAAGUAUCGCGAGCAUGAGACGAUAGUGCAGUCUGAAUCGACAUGCAUUCGAGUGAGAGACUGCCACGAAGAAAUAGCACCAGAAAUAAAAGAGGAGAAGGAGGAGGAGGAGGAGGAGGUGUGGGGCAGCAUCAAGUUAUGGUGGGGUUGACAUGAGAUUAAUAGUUAAUGCACCAGCAAAUUGAGAAGAAUUAAAGGAAAGGUAUCAAGCGUCAUAAAUCUUUCUCUCUGGAAUCAAUGUAAUUGAUGACAAAUUGAAAGAAGAGGCAGAGAUCUAGGAAAAACACUGGGUGUCAGAAAAGGAUUUCUAAAAUCAAUGUGUAAUUGACGACAAAUUGAAAGAGGUCUGGAAAAGUCUUGGGUGUCGGCAAAGUAAUCCUAAUAUCAACGUAAUUGACAAAUUGAAAGAGGUCUGGAAAAGGCUUUGGGCGUCAGCAAAGCAAUCUUAAUAUUAACGUAAUUGACGACAAAUUGAAAGAGGUCUGGAAAAGUCUUGGGUAUUAGCAAAGCAAUCCUAAUAUCAACACAAUAGCAGUCAACUCCUGUUGUUCAUCAGUUGAUAAGUUUUAAUUAUUUUAUUAGCGAGGUAACGGUUUUUAUAUAUGAAAAUGUAGAUUUUGCAAAUUGUUGAUUGUAGAUUGUAGAUUGUAGAUUCGUAGUUCCGUUACCUCUAGAUAUAUUAGAUAUACUAGAUAUAUUAGAAAUUAUAAUAGAUUGAGAUAAAAAUUUCACUUUAAAAAGAAUGUUGUAAGCAUCUAAGGUAUUCGAAUGCCAUGUCGCGCGUUUAUAAAUGCGGAGUUUCGUGCAAAAUGCCGCAUGCUUAUAAAUUCGGAGUUUCGUAGAAAGUUUCGCGCGUUUAGUGCGGGAAUGUCGUGUAAAGUAUCGCGCGUUUAUAAGUGCGGGAGUUCCGUGUAAGUAUCGCGCGUUUAGUGCGGGAGUGUCGUUUGUUUAAAGUUUAAAGUAUCGCGCGUACAAAGCAAAGGACGACAGACUAUUCCUGACCAACCUGAGAGGAUGAACUGGGCAUCAGGCGCCGGCGGAGCAACCUUGGGAUCAACGUAGAUGCAGAGUCAACUCCGCUGCUUCGCAUCGAUUUGG